GUUCCAGACUCCUACGGGAGGCAGCAGUGAGGAAUAUUGGUCAAUGGGCGGGAGCCUGAACCAGCCAAGUCGCGUGAGGGAAGAAGGUACUGAGUCUUGUAAACCUCUUUUGCCAGGGGACAAAGGCGGCCACGGGUGGCCGUAAGAGGGUACCUGGAGAAAAAGCAUCGGCUAACUCCGUGCCAGCAGCCGCGGUAAUACGGAGGAUCCGAGCGUUAUCCGGAUUUAUUGGGUUUAAAGGGAGCGUAGAUGGGUUGUUAAGUCAGUUGUGAAAGUUUGCGGCUCAACCGUAAAAUUGCAAUUGAUACUGGCAGUCUUGAGUACAGUUGAGGUAGGCGGAAUUCGUGGUGUAGCGGUGAAAUGCUUAGAUAUCACGAAGAACCCCGAUUGCGAAGGCAGCUUACUAAACUGUGACUGACAUUGAUGCUCGAAAGUGUGGGUAUCAAACAGGAUUAGAUACCCCAGUA
This 467-nucleotide ribosomal RNA is filed under the name uncultured bacterium. RNAcentral's name for it is "partial 16S ribosomal RNA". It matches the Rfam family "Bacterial small subunit ribosomal RNA", at positions 328 to 792 of the family's 1533-position model. The record is from RNAcentral.